Pantherophis guttatus is the source of this 1302-nucleotide non-coding RNA. NCBI's taxonomy places the organism in Eukaryota, Metazoa, Chordata, Lepidosauria, Squamata, Colubridae. The record is from RefSeq and is a predicted model, not a curated record.
CUAAUUUUUUUUUAAAAAAAAAAAAAGGGGGGGGGGAGAAAAAGAAAAAAAAGAAAGAUGCAAUACACCAAGAGAAAAAGAAUCCAAGUUGUUAAAAAGGGAACAAAUCUCGUUUGCUAGCGUAAUAACCAGGGCUAACCGAAAUUCCUCACUUGCUAAGUGAAGAGGAAGAGCAGAAAAGAGGAAAAUGAAUGCAAUAAAUGACUCAUUAAAGGAGAUUUAUCUAGUUUCCAGAAAGGGAUGCAACUCAUCUUGGAAGAACAGAGCGUGAAGUCAAAUCCAUGGUCAACAAGAGAAGUCUCCCAUUCUGAUGACGCCGUCUUAAUCCUAGUUUUGGAUUUGACGAUGCACGAGAGCAACCCAGCAGGAGAAGACGUGACUAACUUCAACCCAACCAUGUUUGCAACGAGGGCUGGAAACAAAAACCCAGAGAUGAAACGAUGACGAGGCCGUGAUGGGGACCAAAAGCAACUCCGAUGGAGCUGGGGAAUAUGCCCAGGUGUGAUUUGAAUGGAGAGUCCUCUUCCCACCCACCCCCACCCCCAUGGGGGGAUUGCGAGGAGGCACCCCAGAAUUAUUGUUGACGGGUGCCGUUGCUUCCGAGCGCAUGGGAGAGGAUGCAAAGGCAGAGGGAAAUGAGCAUGCUCACUCUUGCAAAGCAGCAUUUGGCCAAGCCAGAACAGUGUGUGUCUUAUCCUUCCACAAUUUCUCUCCUUCUUCCUCCUCCUCCUCUUCCUCCUCCUCUUUGGGAUCUCUCUCUCUCUCUCUCUCUCUCUCUAGAUGUCUGCUACGUUCGGAGGUGCCGGAAUUGACAGUUGGAACCGAUAAAUGAGGGCCUGUUGUCUAGAAUCUCGGAUCUCUUGCUGUGCCGAUGGACCUGUCGCAAUUGUUGUCAGAAGUGCUACGAGUGCAGCUGUUGCCAGUCCAACGAAGACGAAGUGGAAAUCCUGGGGCCUUUUCCAGCCCAAACCCCUCCCUGGUUGUAAGUUUUUGGAAGUGUUCUGAAGGCACCAUUGAUUUGAAGGGUGGUUGCGAUGACGAUACUUAGUUUGGUAAUGAAAUCUGCAAGGAAACCCUCAAACUCAGUACCAUGGACCCCUCAAUCCUCCUCCCCCUCUUCCUUAAAUAUAUAUUUGUGUCCUCUACAAGCAGGUUAUCCUUUCUUUAUAAAUAUAUACAGUAUAUUUGUUCCAUCAUAAGCAGGGAUAGGAUUCCGUCGGUUCAGACCAGUUCAGGCGAACUGGAUGCUAAUUUUACAUCUGGUUCGCCAAACCGGUAGUUGCAAGAACUAACUGGUCCUCC